GAAGGAGAAGAACCCAGGCCAAUCGGCUGCCAUAGGUGGAGGUUCAGUUCAGGUAUAUUUCAUCUGGUUUUGUUAAUUCGAAAAGUUGUUACAAAUAUCAUAGAAUACUCCAACUUGGUUAAAUGCAAAUAUAAUGUAGACAAACCAGAGUUCUUGGAGAUCUUGGUCGGACUCUUCACUGGUAUUCAAAUUCCAUUUGGUACAGGGUUGUCAACUUCUGUCUGUAGCCGCGGUUGAUCGUAGACCACAGAACAAGCAAAAUCCAGUUGCCCAAAAGAAAAGGGCACAUUUCUACACAAG
RNAcentral lists this long non-coding RNA (300 nucleotides) under Oryza sativa (Asian cultivated rice). RNAcentral's name for it is "long non-coding RNA (OSAT_LNC001367)". The record is from RNAcentral. Lineage: Eukaryota; Viridiplantae; Streptophyta; Magnoliopsida; Poales; Poaceae.